AACGCACAUUGCGCCCCUUGGUAUUCCUCGGGGCAUGCCUAUUCGAGCGUCGUUUCCACCCUCAAGCCCAGGCUUGGUGUUGGGGAUCGCCCCUCCCUCGCGAGGCGGCGGCCCUUGAAUUCAUCGGCGGUGCCGGUGUGGCCCUGAGCGCAGCAGCGAUGCAGCUCUCGACCCUCCGAAACCAGCCGCGCAAGACAGCAGGCGGUACCCUUCGCGGUCCACCAGCAAAAAUCCAAACGUCGACCUCGAAUUAGGUAGGGAUACCCGCUGAACUUAA
RNAcentral lists this unclassified non-coding RNA (277 nucleotides) under uncultured fungus. Its description in RNAcentral is "partial contains 5.8S ribosomal RNA, internal transcribed spacer 2, and large subunit ribosomal RNA". Lineage: Eukaryota; Fungi. The record is from RNAcentral.